GCCCGGCUAGCUCAGUCGGUAGAGCAUGAGACU
Molecule: non-coding RNA, 33 nt
Filed under: Drosophila melanogaster (fruit fly)
Lineage: Eukaryota; Metazoa; Arthropoda; Insecta; Diptera; Drosophilidae
Also listed under: 6 other names
Source: RNAcentral